AGCAGUGGGGAAUAUUGGACGAUGGGCGCAAGCCUGAUCCAGCAAUGCCGCGUGGAUGAAGAAGGUUUUCGGAUUGUAAAGUCCUUUCGACGGGGACGAUGAUGACGGUACCCGUAGAAGAAGCCCCGGCUAACUUCGUGCCAGCAGCCGCGGUAAUACGAAGGGGGCUAGCGUUGCUCGGAAUGACUGGGCGUAAAGGGCGCGUAGGCGGAAUGCUUUGUCGGGCGUGAAAUUCCAGGGCUUAACCUUGGGACUGCGUUCGAGACGGGUAUUCUAGAGUGGAGGAGAGGGUCGUGGAACUCCCAGUGUAGAGGUGAAAUUCGUAGAUAUUGGGAAGAACACCGGUGGCGAAGGCGGCGACCUGGUCUUUUACUGACGCUGAGG
This 384-nucleotide ribosomal RNA is filed under the name uncultured bacterium. RNAcentral's name for it is "bacterial SSU rRNA". It matches the Rfam family "Bacterial small subunit ribosomal RNA", at positions 350 to 751 of the family's 1533-position model. The record is from RNAcentral.